UCAGCCUUCUGUGUAGCUGGGACUACAUCACAACUGGCUAAUUUUUGUAUUUUUAGUAGAGACAGGUUUUCAUCAUGUUGACCAGGCUGGUCUCAAACUCCUGACCUCGGGUGAUCUGCCCGACUCGGCCUCCCAAAGUGCUGGGAUUACAGGCAUGAGCCACUGCGCCCGGCCUGGAGUCUUAUCUUUCACAUGGACCAGUAACAUUUCAACAUCUAUUUAGAUCAGGACUCCCCAACCCCCUAGCCACAGACUAGUAACUAAUGCCUGAUGAUCUGAGGUGGAACAGUUUCAUCCUGAAACCAUCCCCACUCGUCAGUGGAAAAACUGUCUUCCGUGAAACCGGUUCCUGGUGCCAAAAAGGUUGGGGACUGCUGAUUUAGAGGACCCACAUUGGGUUGUCAACAGCCAUCACAAGAUAUUUCCAAAACUAUCAUCUAUUUUCCCCAUCAUUUCAUAAAGAAAAAGCGCUUUUAAUACCAAUAAAAGGGGAUGAAUAACAUGAUUGCUGAAUACGAGACAGGCCUUUACAGAUGUGGCUUUCUAUGGUCAAUUUUCUCAUUUGCAGAAGAGCAGGGAACUCAAACCUCUUCACAGGCCAGCAAUGUGAAACUGUGGUCCCAGCUACCGUCCCUUUUCCACCCCCAUAGGUAGCUGCUCACCAAGUCCUGCUCAUCCUAACUGGCCUGGUUUCUGGAACCCUUCCUGUUCCCUUCACUGGCACUGUUCCUGACCUCUGCCAGGCCCUCAGUUCCCUCUGGCCUGAACCCUGCAGAUGACAAGCUGUUUCAGAGCAAGGAGAGUCACAUCUGUCCACAGGAGGGGAAGGGCCCUGAUGCCUUGCAAGUAUGCAUCAUGGAUGUGGAUGAAUCUGGAAACCAUCAUUCUCAGCAAACUGACACAAGAACAGAAAACCAAAUGUUCUCCCUCACAGGUGGGUGUUGAACAAUGGGAACACAUGGGGAGCAUCACACAUUGGGGUCUGUUGGGAGGGGCCAAGGGAGGGACAGCGGGGGUUGGGAAGGUUGAGGAGGGAUAACAUGGGGAGAAAUGCCAGAUAUAGGUGACGGGGGGAUGGCAGCAGCAAACCACCUUGCCAUGUAUGUACCUAUGCAAUG
Molecule: long non-coding RNA, 1118 nt
Filed under: Callithrix jacchus (white-tufted-ear marmoset)
Lineage: Eukaryota; Metazoa; Chordata; Mammalia; Primates; Cebidae
Description: lncRNA (ENSCJAG00000081816.1)
Source: RNAcentral